This is a long non-coding RNA of Prosopis cineraria, 967 nucleotides long. RefSeq lists it as uncharacterized. The transcript has 3 exons. The record is from RefSeq and is a predicted model, not a curated record. NCBI's taxonomy places the organism in Eukaryota, Viridiplantae, Streptophyta, Magnoliopsida, Fabales, Fabaceae.
CUCCACCCCAAUCAGGUUUUUUUUGGCUCCCUCCGUCCCUCUUCUCAAAUCGAUCGAACAUACCAGGUGCAGAGAAAAGGGAAAAAAAAAGAGAGAGCUCUGAACCAGAAUCCCUCUGCCAUUUCCGUCCUCUUCCUUCUUCCUCCACUGUCCUCAAUGUCGCCGGCACCGUGGGUGUGUGGAGAGAUGUAUCCGCCGUUGCUCCGUCAAGGUCGAGACUUCUUUGUUCUCCUGUGCUUCACAUCGUCGAAGUCUUUUCUCCCUCCUUCGUCCGUGUAGCUAUGUAAGUGCAUUAGGAUUAUUUUCUUCCUCUUCCUCUGUUUCAUCGGCAUCGGUCUGCUCUACUCUUCUCUGUGCAUGUCGUCAAUCAAUUCUUCUCCCCUGUUUUGGCGCUGGCGCUGUGCUCUGGGGGCUGGGGAAAAGUUUCGAUCCUCUCCCUCUUCUCGUGUUAUUUGUUCUGCUGGUGUUUGUAGGAGGUGUUAGCCCCGUGCGAAGGUCAACAUACAUGGAAUGGAGACAUGGUAUAAAGAAUCAUGGAUGAAGAUAAAAUUUUAAGAGCAUGAAGAAUCAAGAGAAAAUGAAGAAGUUUAGGAUAAGUAUUUUAAAUUUUUUUAUAUUUAAUGUGAAAACUUAGAUAGUUUAAUCACUUUUCUUAAUCAUUAAAUGAAUGUAUCAUAUGUUUUUUUUAUAUGCAUUAAGACUCAUUUAAGUAUGUUAAAGUUUGCAAAAGUUUGCAAACUUUGGCUCUCUUGCAUAUGGUUUUUCAUAAAAAAAGUUUACAGAGUGAAGAGGUAAAAUCAUGCGUGAUUCUGCCGGUCAUUCAUGAAUUUUUGUAUGUUAGGCAUGUUGACAGUUGGAUCACGCAAGUGUGAAGAAGUGCUUCACACGUGAUUAAACACUUGUGUUGUAUGUUGCCUUAUGCUCUGUCUCGGCAUGCAAAACCACGCAUGAAAGGCUUUAGUGUUCA